Molecule: ribosomal RNA, 795 nt
Filed under: uncultured bacterium
Lineage: Bacteria
Description: bacterial SSU rRNA
Rfam family: Bacterial small subunit ribosomal RNA
Source: RNAcentral
AGAGUUUGAUCCUGGCUCAGAAUUAACGCUGGCAGAGUGCAUAACACAUGCAAGUCGAGCGAGACUAUCUGAGAUUACAUCAAAUGGUAGUUUAGCGGCAGACGAGUGAGUAACACGUAAAUAAUCUGCCCUCGAAUGGAGGACAACCAGCCGAAAGGUUGGCUAAUACUCCGUACUCUUCCCUGGAGGCAUCUUCGGGGAAGGAUAGGCCCGCAAGGGUUGUUCGAGGAGGAGUUUGCGGCCCAUCAGCUAGUUGGCGGUGUAACGGACCACCAAGGCUAUGACGGGUACCCGGGCUGAAAGGCCGGACGGGCACGAUGGCACUGAGAUACGGGCCAUACUCCUACGGGAGGCAGCAGUGGGGAAUUUUGGACAAUGGGGGAAACCCUGAUCCAGCAACUCUGCGUGAGGGACGAAGCCUCUCGGGGCGUAAACCUCUUUUAUCUGGGACGAAAUCCCGCAAGGGUCCGACGGUACCAGGUGAAUAAGCCACGGCUAACUAUGUGCCAGCAGCCGCGGUAAGACAUAGGUGGCGAGCGUUAUUCGGAAUUACUAGGCGUAAAGCGAGUGUAGGCGGGCGCUUAAGUCUGUUGUGAAAUCUCCCGGCUUAACUGGGAGGGGUCAACGGAUACUGGGCGUCUUGAGUGUGGUAGGGGGCAGUGGAAUUCCCGGUGUAGCGGUGAAAUGCGUAGAUAUCGGGAGGAACACCUAUGGCGAAAGCAGCUGCCUGGGCCAUUACUGACGCUAAGACUCGAAAGCUAGGGGAGCAAACAGGAUUAGAUACCCUGGUAGUCC